This 433-nucleotide ribosomal RNA is filed under the name Campylobacter gracilis. RNAcentral's name for it is "bacterial SSU rRNA". It matches the Rfam family "Bacterial small subunit ribosomal RNA", at positions 29 to 459 of the family's 1533-position model. Lineage: Bacteria; Pseudomonadati; Campylobacterota; Epsilonproteobacteria; Campylobacterales; Campylobacteraceae. The record is from RNAcentral.
AGUGAACGCUGGCGGCGUGCCUAAUACAUGCAAGUCGAACGGAAUUUAAAAGGGCUUGCUCUUUUAAAUUUAGUGGCGCACGGGUGAGUAAUAUAUAGCUAAUCUGCCCCUUGCUGGAGGACAACAGUUAGAAAUGACUGCUAAUACUCCAUACUCCUUUUUACCAUAAGAUAAAUCGGGAAAGAAUUUCGGCAAGGGAUGAGACUAUAUCGUAUCAGCUAGUCGGUGGGGUAACGGCCUACCGAGGCUAUGACGCGUAACUGGUCUGAGAGGAUGAUCAGUCACAUUGGAACUGAGACACGGUCCAAACUCCUACGGGAGGCAGCAGUAGGGAAUAUUGCGCAAUGGGGGAAACCCUGACGCAGCAACGCCGCGUGGAGGAUGACACUUUUCGGAGCGUAAACUCCUUUUGUUAGGGAAGAAUAAGACGGUA